CCUACGGGAGGCAGCAGUAGGGAAUAUUGCUCAAUGGGGGAAAGCCUGAAGCAGCAACGCCGCGUGGAGGAUGAAGGUUUUCGGAUUGUAAACCCCUUUUGUUAGAGAAGAUAAUGACGGUAUCUAACGAAUAAGCACCGGCUAACUCCGUGCCAGCAGCCGCGGUAAUACGGAGGGUGCAAGCUGUACUCGGAAUCACUGGGCGUAAAGAGCGCGUAGGAGGGAUAGCAAGUCAGAGGUGAAAUCCUAUGGCUUAACCAUAGAACUGCAUUUGAAACUGUUAUUCUAGAGUGUGGGAGAGGUAGGUGGAAUUCUUGGUGUAGCGGUGAAAUCCGUAGAGAUCAAGAGGAAUACUCAUUGCGAAGGCGACCUGCUAGAACAUAACUGACGCUGAUGCGCGAAAGCGUGGGGAGCAAACAGGAUUAGAUACCCCAGUAGUC
Molecule: ribosomal RNA, 440 nt
Filed under: uncultured bacterium
Lineage: Bacteria
Description: partial 16S ribosomal RNA
Rfam family: Bacterial small subunit ribosomal RNA
Source: RNAcentral